RNAcentral lists this ribosomal RNA (427 nucleotides) under uncultured bacterium. RNAcentral describes it as "partial 16S ribosomal RNA". It matches the Rfam family "Bacterial small subunit ribosomal RNA", at positions 355 to 774 of the family's 1533-position model. The record is from RNAcentral.
UGGGGAAUAUUGCACAAUGGGCGCAAGCCUGAUGCAGCCAUGCCGCGUGUGUGAAGAAGGCCUUCGGGUUGUAAAGCACUUUCAGCGAGGAGGAAGGCAGUCGUGUUAAUAGCACGGUUGAUUGACGUUACUCGCAGAAGAAGCACCGGCUAACUCCGUGCCAGCAGCCGCGGUAAUACGGAGGGUGCAAGCGUUAAUCGGAAUUACUGGGCGUAAAGCGCACGCAGGCGGUUAGUUAAGUCAGAUGUGAAAUCCCCGCGCUUAACGUGGGAACUGCAUUUGAAACUGGCAAGCUAGAGUCUUGUAGAGGGGGGUAGAAUUCCAGGUGUAGCGGUGAAAUGCGUAGAGAUCUGGAGGAAUACCGGUGGCGAAGGCGGCCCCCUGGACAAAGACUGACGCUCAGGUGCGAAAGCGUGGGGAGCAAACA